UACGUAGGUUGCAAGCGUUAUCCGGAAUUAUUGGGCGUAAAGAGCUCGUAGGCGGUUCGUGGCGUCAGGUGUGAAAGUCCAUCGCUUAACGGUGGAUCUGCGCCGGGUACGGGCGGACUGGAGUGCGGUAGGGGAGACUGGAAUUCCCGGUGUAACGGUGGAAUGUGUAGAUAUCGGGAAGAACACCAGUGGCGAAGGCAGGUCUCUGGGCCGUUACUGACGCUGAGGAGCGAAAGCGUGGGGAGCGAACAGG
RNAcentral lists this ribosomal RNA (253 nucleotides) under uncultured bacterium. RNAcentral's name for it is "partial 16S ribosomal RNA". It matches the Rfam family "Bacterial small subunit ribosomal RNA", at positions 524 to 776 of the family's 1533-position model. The record is from RNAcentral.